This 156-nucleotide ribosomal RNA is filed under the name uncultured bacterium. RNAcentral's name for it is "partial 16S ribosomal RNA". It matches the Rfam family "Bacterial small subunit ribosomal RNA", at positions 1345 to 1500 of the family's 1533-position model. The record is from RNAcentral.
CAGAUCAGAAUGCUGCGGUGAAUACGUUCCCGGGUCUUGUACACACCGCCCGUCACACCAUGGGAGUUGGAAAUGCCCGAAGCCAGUGACCCAACCGUAAGGAGGGAGCUGUCGAAGGUGGAGCCGAUGACUGGGGUGAAGUCGUAACAAGGUAAC